Molecule: ribosomal RNA, 487 nt
Filed under: uncultured bacterium
Lineage: Bacteria
Description: bacterial SSU rRNA
Rfam family: Bacterial small subunit ribosomal RNA
Source: RNAcentral
CUCAGAUUGAACGCUGGCGGCAUGCCUUACACAUGCAAGUCGAACGGUAACAGGUCUUCGGAUGCUGACGAGUGGCGAACGGGUGAGUAAUACAUCGGAACGUGCCCAGACGUGGGGGAUAACGAGGCGAAAGCUUUGCUAAUACCGCAUACGAUCUAAGGAUGAAAGCAGGGGACCGCAAGGCCUUGCGCUCUUUGAGCGGCCGAUGUCAGAUUAGCUAGUUGGUGAGGUAAAAGCUUACCAAGGCGACGAUCUGUAGCGGGUCUGAGAGGAUGAUCCGCCACACUGGAACUGAGACACGGUCCAGACUCCUACGGGAGGCAGCAGUGGGGAAUUUUGGACAAUGGGGGCAACCCUGAUCCAGCCAUGCCGCGUGAGUGAAGAAGGCCUUCGGGUUGUAAAGCUCUUUCGGCCGGGAAGAAAUCGCAUGGGCCAAUACCCUGUGUGGAUGACGGUACCGGAAUAAGAAGCACCGGCUAACUACGUG